This 728-nucleotide ribosomal RNA is filed under the name Salmonella enterica subsp. enterica serovar Enteritidis. Its description in RNAcentral is "partial 23S ribosomal RNA". It matches the Rfam family "Bacterial large subunit ribosomal RNA", at positions 540 to 1269 of the family's 2925-position model. Lineage: Bacteria; Pseudomonadati; Pseudomonadota; Gammaproteobacteria; Enterobacterales; Enterobacteriaceae. The record is from RNAcentral.
GAAAAAGAACCUGAAACCGUGUACGUACAAGCAGUGGGAGCACCCUUUGGGUGUGACUGCGUACCUUUUGUAUAAUGGGUCAGCGACUUAUAUUCUGUAGCAAGGUUAACCGAAUAGGGGAGCCGGAGGGAAACCGAGUCUUAACCGGGCGUUAAGUUGCAGGGUAUAGACCCGAAACCCGGUGAUCUAGCCAUGGGCAGGUUGAAGGUUGGGUAACACUAACUGGAGGACCGAACCGACUAAUGUUGAAAAAUUAGCGGAUGACCUGUGGCUGGGGGUGAAAGGCCAAUCAAACCGGGAGAUAGCUGGUUCUCCCCGAAAGCUAUUUAGGUAGCGCCUCGUGAAUUCAUCUCCGGGGGUAGAGCACUGUUUCGGCUAGGGGGCCAUCCCGGCUUACCAACCCGAUGCAAACUGCGAAUACCGGAGAAUGUUAUCACGGGAGACACACGGCGGGUGCUAACGUCCGUCGUGAAGAGGGAAACAACCCAGACCGCCAGCUAAGGUCCCAAAGUCAUGGUUAAGUGGGAAACGAUGUGGGAAGGCCCAGACAGCCAGGAUGUUGGCUUAGAAGCAGCCAUCAUUUAAAGAAAGCGUAAUAGCUCACUGGUCGAGUCGGCCUGCGCGGAAGAUGUAACGGGGCUAAACCAUGCACCGAAGCUGCGGCAGCGACACUGUGUGUUGUUGGGUAGGGGAGCGUUCUGUAAGCCUGUGAAGGUGUGUCGUGAGGC